AUGGAUUCUAGGAGAAAUAAAAUUAUUAAGAUUAUCUUGCAAGAACAAGAAGAAGACGAUGAACUAUUUUUCCUUUUGGUUCCCGCUUUAUAUGCUUCCCUUUAUGAGGAAAAGCAUCCAGUUCACACAUCAUCUUUAUCUGGGGCUACAAAGGUUAAGGAAAUAUUAGAAGGCCACGAGAGUUGGUCUAGGGUUGAGUUUCGGAUGGAACCUGAGAUUUUCAAGUCUAUCGUGGAUUACCUUAGAAGAGAGAAUCUAUUGAAAGGCACGUCGUGUGUUGCUAUCGAGGAGCAGUUGGCAAUGUUCAUGUACAUGAUUUCGCACAAUGCUAGUAAUCAAGAUCUACAAAAAUACUUCCAACACAGCGCAGAAACAAUUCAUAGGAAGAUAAACAGGAUUUUUGACUUAAUUCCAACUCUAGCCCAAAGAUUUAUAAAGAUUCCAAGUUCACUCCAGCCCCACCCGAAGAUUGUUUCGAACAACCGCUAUUGGCCAUAUUUCCAGGUGAACCACUACACACACAUCUCCAUAUCAAUGGAAUUUUUGAAACUUCUCCACAUAGAUUUCUAA
Molecule: ribosomal RNA, 570 nt
Filed under: Triticum aestivum (bread wheat)
Lineage: Eukaryota; Viridiplantae; Streptophyta; Magnoliopsida; Poales; Poaceae
Description: partial small subunit ribosomal RNA
Source: RNAcentral